UCAAUAUCAGAGUUACUGACAAGCCAAAAGAAUAGCCUUUUGGUAAAUAUGACACUAAAUAACUGUACUAAAGGAAGAACAUGUUUCAUAUGAAUAGCCUGUUUGACCAAGCUUCUAAAAUCAGCUUAUUUUGAGAAGUGCUUUUCUCAAAAGUACUUUUAAAAAAAGUGUUUUUGGUGAGAAGUAGUUUGUGUUUGGCUAAUGAAUUGAAAAAACACUUUUGCGCAGUAAUUAGUGUUUGACCAAGCUUUUGAAAACUGCUUCUAAGUGUAUUUUUCUCAAAAGUGCUUCUCCGAAAAGUGCUUUUGGAGAGAAGCUACUUUUUUCUACUUCUCCAACUUCUCCAAAACUGUUUAUGCUUCUCCUCAAAAGCACUUUUUUCCUUCAAAAGCUUGGCCAAACAUCUCAAUUUUUGACCAAAAGUGCUUUUGACCAAAAAAAAACACUUUUGGCCCAAAAAAAAACUUGGCCAAACAGGCUAUGAGAGAAUAAC
This 493-nucleotide long non-coding RNA is filed under the name Nicotiana tabacum (common tobacco). Its description in RNAcentral is "long non-coding RNA (NTAB_LNC011952)". Lineage: Eukaryota; Viridiplantae; Streptophyta; Magnoliopsida; Solanales; Solanaceae. The record is from RNAcentral.